AAUUCUCAACCUUUAUCACUUUUGCUGAUAAUGGCUUGGAUAUGGGGGUCUAUUUUGCUGGCUUCUUUACGGAUGGUCAGCUCCCCUUAAAUGCAUUAGCCGGUGCCCCGCGUGGACUGUCUAUUGGUGUGAUAAUUAUCUACGCCGUGGACAUCUGCAAUCAUAUGGGUUUGCACUGCUUCCAACUGUCUGUUCAAUCAGACAAUACAUGACA
Molecule: unclassified non-coding RNA, 214 nt
Filed under: uncultured Agaricales
Lineage: Eukaryota; Fungi; Basidiomycota; Agaricomycetes; Agaricales
Description: sequence contains ITS2
Source: RNAcentral